ACCCUAACAAAGAGAAUGCAGCCGCCAUCAUCGGUUCAUCAGCCGCCUCCACCUUAUUUUCCCCACCUAGUGUCGCCACUCCCUUCGUAGAGUCACCACCGCCACUACUCUCCCUCCGGUGACGACCAGCGCUGCAAGGAAGCCUCCGAGGCCGGUGCACCUGUCGCAUCGCCUUGUUGAAGACGUCACCGCCAUGCGACCUCACUGUGACGAUAGUAACCUCCAACCGCCGCCUGGCAUCUUGAGGGUGUUGUGCGGGUUGCGUCCUAGGUCAUAACCGAUGUCUGAUAGCAUUGUCCGGGGCUCACGAAGUAGGUUCGUUCAUGGGGGAUGGAAUCUGCCGAGUUAGAGUGGUGAAGAACCACCAUGNGGCGGCAGGCCAUGGUGGCUAUCGUCGUUAGCACCGCUGCUGAAGCUGUUGUUGUCACUAGUGUUGUAGUUUUCGUCGUCACCUUCCACCUCAUCUUUAGUCUCUUCGUCAACCACAACCUGCCAAAGUUCCUGCCGCCUCCGACCACCGUAGGUGGGAAUUUUGGACCUAUUUCUCGAGCAUAGAAGAGUAUUUUGCUCAAUGUGGCUGUGUGUGUAUGCGUAAUUAGUUUAGUGUUUGCGUGUGUGUGGUUGAUUAAGUUAGCUUUGUAAAAUGUAAUUUGAAUUUGGAAUAAUGAAAAAGAAACUCAAACCACCACUGUAAGGUGGUGGCCGCCGCUGUGAGCCGCCAUUGACCACAACUACCGAGGUGGGAGUGGGUGGUGCCCCACUAGCAAACCCUAAUGGGCUUAGAGAUCGGUUUUGGGCCUAUUGGGCCAUGUUUGGGUGGAAAACCCUAAUUAUGAGUAUUUGGGCCUUGGACCUAUUUGGACCCACUUUUGGGCCAUUGGGAUUGGAUUGUGAAUUAAGCCCAAACUAUUCCAUGCCAUUUAUCUAGUAGAAUAAAGGACUUAAUGGACUAAGUCCUUAAUGGGCUAAUUGAGAAAAUACUAAUAUUUGAGAAAUUAUCAGGACACACACGAGAAAUUCUUUAAUAAGUGAAAUAUUAAAUAAUAAUCAUUGGCAGAAAUUAAUCUAAGCAAUACUGGACUUAAUGAAUUAAGUCCUUAGUGGGUUAAGCCUUUAAUGGGUUAAGUAAGAAAAACUUAACCCUAAUAGUCAUUUUAUGUGAAACCCUAAUGUCACACGGGCCUUGAGUUGGGCUUUUCAAUUGGGUAAUUGGUAAUUUGGCCAAUAAUGGCCAUCCAAGAAUGAUUAUGGACUAGAAUAUUUAGUUGGGCUUUAGGGUAAGGCCCUAAUGAAGGAUUGGGCCCAAUAUGGAAAAUUAGGCCAUAAAUGAGCCAUAGUUUGGGCCUAGAGAGUUGUAUGAUAUUGGGCCCUUAGAAUGGGACAUGUUGGACUGGACUAGACAAUUGGGCCUUAAGGGAAGCCCAUGUAGAGGUUUGGGCCCAAUUUAGAAAAUUGGGCCAUAUGUUGGGCUUUGAUCCUUAGUUGACUUUGGGCCUAUGGAUUGGACCUUGGGCUUGGGUAAGCCAAGCUUGGGGUAAUGUAGUAAUUAUCCAAAGUAUGUGAUCAUAGUUAUGUAGUGGAACCCAAUUAUUAAUUGGGUGUUAUUUUGAUGUUGAAAGAGCGGGAAUCUGUCAUCUAGCAGCUUGGGUCAAGUCUGCGGGACUUCAGCGGUGUGGGAUUGGGUCAGCGGGACUUCAGAAGUGUGAGGUGAGUUUCCUUCCAGUAGGAACGGGUCUCCGGCCACAAUGCCGGCCCGUUUAGUUAGCAGUAGUUCCGGACCUCGGUCCGAUGCAAUAAUUAGGAUGCUUGAUGUCUUUGUGAUUCAAACAUGUCUAUGUGUUAUGUGUUCUGGACUUCAGUCCGAUGCAAUAUAUGUGUUUAUGCUAGUUGAUAUGUGUUUACACUAUGCUAUAUUCAGCCAGUUCCGGACUUCGGUCCGAUGCAGGGGACAAGGUCCCAGUCAGUUCCAGACUUCGGUCUGAUGCAGUUAGUUCCGGACUUUGGUUCGAUGCAGGGGACAAGGUCCCAGUCAGUUCCGGACUUUGGUCCAAUGCAGUUUCCGGACUUCGGUCUGAUGCAGUGGGCAAGGCCCAGUAUGUGCUUUAUAUGUUAUUGUAUGGUAUGUGGCAGUUUGGGGAGACUCACUAAGCUUCGUGCUUACAGUUUUCAGUUUUGGUUUCAGGUACUCAGUUUUCAAAAGAAGAGCUCGGGAAGAUUGCAAUACACACACCACCUGUUCAGCUUGGGAUGUUUAUACACAGAUAUUUUGACAACUGUUAUGAUAUUUUGAGAUACACAGUUUAUGAUCUAUAUAUGAUGUUUGAUGACUAUGGUUUUAUUAUUAAAUUAAAAUGAAAUUUUUAGACUGUGUUCUUGGGACGUUACACUGAUAAAAC
This 2396-nucleotide long non-coding RNA is filed under the name Lactuca sativa (garden lettuce). RNAcentral describes it as "long non-coding RNA (LSAT_LNC009856)". The record is from RNAcentral. Lineage: Eukaryota; Viridiplantae; Streptophyta; Magnoliopsida; Asterales; Asteraceae.